UACGUAGGCAGCGAGCGUUGUUCGGAAUUACUGGGCGUAAAGAGUGUGUAGGCGGUGCUCUAAGUUCGGUGUGAAAUCUCCCGGCUUAACUGGGAGGGUGCGCCGGAAACUGGAGUGCUCGAGCGUGGGAGAGGAAAGCGGAAUUCCUGGUGUAGCGGUGAAAUUCGUAGAUAUCGGGAGGAACACCAGUGGCGAAGGCGGCGACCUGGGCCAAUAUUGACGCUGAGGUGCGAAAGCGUGGGGAGCAAACAGG
Molecule: ribosomal RNA, 253 nt
Filed under: uncultured bacterium
Lineage: Bacteria
Description: partial 16S ribosomal RNA
Rfam family: Bacterial small subunit ribosomal RNA
Source: RNAcentral